UCGUUGAAUCGAGUAGGGGUAAGUUGAGC
Molecule: small RNA, 29 nt
Filed under: Bombyx mori (domestic silkworm)
Lineage: Eukaryota; Metazoa; Arthropoda; Insecta; Lepidoptera; Bombycidae
Description: ovarian small RNA-29346
Source: RNAcentral